Molecule: non-coding RNA, 270 nt
Organism: Paramuricea clavata
Lineage: Eukaryota; Metazoa; Cnidaria; Anthozoa; Malacalcyonacea; Plexauridae
Source: the annotation of a GenBank genome assembly
AACGAUAUUUUCGGAAUAUUUUCUGUCCAUGGAAAAUUUUGUCGAGUGGAAACGGGUCUUUAGACGCUAACAAGGAACAGCUGCAGAAAAUGCAACUAUAGUAUAGGUCUCUGGCAGGACAUGACGUUUAAUAUAUAUAUUAUAUAGGGUACUGCCAUGUUAGGUAAGUUAUGGGUAAAUAUCAAGAUUCUGUUGGCAUCUCAGUCGAUUGAAUAAUAUAGUUAAGGGUCUUGUAUAUGGAAAUUAUCGAGUGGAAAUAUAUGUACUAUU